This 120-nucleotide ribosomal RNA is filed under the name uncultured bacterium. RNAcentral describes it as "partial 16S ribosomal RNA". It matches the Rfam family "Bacterial small subunit ribosomal RNA", at positions 29 to 145 of the family's 1533-position model. The record is from RNAcentral.
AACGAACGUUGGCGGCGUGGAUUAGGCAUGCAAGUCGAACGCGAAAGGGGUAGCAAUACCCCGAGUAAAGUGGCGAACGGGUGAGUAACGCGUAGGAAACCUGCCUUCGAGUGGGGGAUA